GAUGAACGCUGGCGGCAUGCCUAAUACAUGCAAGUCGAGCGAACGGACGAGAAGCUUGCUUCUCUGAUGUUAGCGGCGGACGGGUGAGUAACACGUGGAUAACCUACCUAUAAGACUGGGAUAACUUCGGGAAACCGGAGCUAAUAACGGAUAAUAUUUUGAACCGCAUGGUUCAAAAGUGAAAGACGGUCUUGCUGUCACUUAUAGAUGGAUCCGCGCUGCAUUAGCUAGUUGGUAAGGUAACGGCUUACCAAGGCAACGAUGCAUAGCCGACCUGAGAGGGUGAUCGGCCACACUGGAACUGAGACACGGUCCAGACUCCUACGGGAGGCGGCAGUAGGGAAUCUUCCGCAAUGGGCGAAAGCCUGACGGAGCAACGCCGCGUGAGUGAUGAAGGUCUUCGGAUCGUAAAACUCUGUUAUUAGGGAAGAACAUAUGUGUAAGUAACUGUGCACAUCUUGACGGUACCUAAUCAGAAAGCCACGGCUAACUACGUG
RNAcentral lists this ribosomal RNA (497 nucleotides) under uncultured bacterium. RNAcentral describes it as "partial 16S ribosomal RNA". It matches the Rfam family "Bacterial small subunit ribosomal RNA", at positions 28 to 507 of the family's 1533-position model. The record is from RNAcentral.